AUGAGGUCGCUGCGUGAUGGCAAUGGCAGGACCAUCUGGUUUCAGGGGGAGCCUGGACCUAUGGCCCCGAAAGGAGAAAAGUCCCGCAAGAGGCGUUCGCGGGUGAAUGCUGACCCUGAGCCUCCAAGUCCAAAGGCCACAAAGCCGGUGCCGAAGAGACGUUCGAAGGGUAGCAGCGGCCAAGAGAAGGUAGCAAAGCGAUCUGGCAGGAAGAAGGGGAAAGAGCUCGUCCAAGGAGCCGAGAACGCCAAGGCAAAUGAAGCAAGAAAGCCAAACGCCAGGUCCAGAAGGAAAGCAUCCGCAAGUCAAGGGUCUCCCAUGAACGAAGCUCCUGCUGCAGAUAGGAAGAGGCAGGCAUCUGCUCGGAGAAGCACAGGUUAGAAUGCUGCACUGGCUCCAACAUAAGCAUGGGAGGGGGAUAGGCCCAGAUGGCUUAUGCUGGUCAAGGUCCGUCUGGCAUUUUUUCAAAAGUAGAAUAAAAGAGCUAGUGUUCUGCA
This 497-nucleotide long non-coding RNA is filed under the name Chrysemys picta bellii (western painted turtle). RNAcentral describes it as "lncRNA (ENSCPBG00000003271.1)". Lineage: Eukaryota; Metazoa; Chordata; Testudines; Emydidae. The record is from RNAcentral.